RNAcentral lists this small nuclear RNA (104 nucleotides) under Heterocephalus glaber (naked mole-rat). The record is from RNAcentral. Lineage: Eukaryota; Metazoa; Chordata; Mammalia; Rodentia; Bathyergidae.
GCUCUCCCUUUGGCAGCACAUAUACUAAAAUUGGAAUGAUACGGAGAUUAGCAUGGCCCCUGCACAAGGAUGACUCGCAAAUUUGUGAAGUGUUUCAUAUUUUU